RNAcentral lists this long non-coding RNA (3684 nucleotides) under Lactuca sativa (garden lettuce). RNAcentral's name for it is "long non-coding RNA (LSAT_LNC002847)". The record is from RNAcentral. Lineage: Eukaryota; Viridiplantae; Streptophyta; Magnoliopsida; Asterales; Asteraceae.
CAGACGAGUACCCAGCUCAUCGUGAAACCUAUUCCAAAACCUGGAAGUAAACCGCACGUCUCUGUCUGAAAUUACCGAAACUGGCACUCCGUGUCGCGCCACCACCUCCCUGAUAUAGAUAUCGGCCUAUUUCUCGGCCGAGAUGAUCUCCUGAAUCGGAAUAAAGUGGGCGCUCUUGGUCAAUCGAUCCACGAUGACCCAUGUCGAAUCCAUCCCCCGCGCGGUCUUGGGAAGCUUCGUGAUAAAAUCCAUCAUAAUAUCCUCCCAUUUCCACAACGGGAUAUCCAACAGCUGCAUCUUGCCGUGAGGUCUCUGAUGCUCGGCCUUGACCUUCCUGCAGGUCAAGCACCGCUCCACGUACCAUGCCACAUCCAGCUUCAUGUAGGGCCACCAAUAGUCUAGACGAAGAUCCCUAUACAUCUUCGUCACCCCGGGAUGAAUGGAGAAUCGGGACUUGUGGGCCUCCUCCAUCAGGACCUGGCACACUCCUCCAUGAUAAGGGACCCACACCCUACGGUGAAGAGUCAAUAACCCUCGGCUACCAUAGUCGAANNNNNNNNNNNNNCCGAUGUUCCCUUCAUAGCCUCCUGCUGAGCCUCCCGGAUCCACUCCAGAAGCGGAGUCAACACUGUCAUCCUUAGAUAGAUAUCCCUGAUCGGUGCUGCCUUGCAGCUAAGCACAUCGGCCACGACAUUGGCAUUCCUUGGAUGGUAGAGGAUCUCACAAUCAUAGUCCUUCACCACAUCAAGCCACCGAUGCUGCCUCACAUUCAGAUUUGGAUUGUCCAUGAGAUACCUCAAACUCUUUUGGUCCGUGUAAAUCGUACAACGAACCCCAUAGAGGUAAUGACGCCAAAUCUUGAGGGCGAACACCACAGGCCCCAACUCCAAAUCAUGUGUCGGGUAGUUCGCCUCGUGAGGCUUCAGCUGCCUCGACGCGUAGGCGAUGACAUGCCCUCUCUGCAUCAAUACCGCGCCCAAUCCUGCAAUGGGUGCAUCGCAGUACAGAACAAAAUCCUCCGUGCCCUCUCGCAGGGCCAAAAUUGGUGCCUCGCACAAUCUCUGUCUCAUCAUCUCUAAUGCGGCCUGCUGCUCAGACCCCAGCGAUACACCACCGACUUCUUAGUCAGUCGGGUGAGCGGGACUGCUAUCUUGGAGAAGUCCUAAAUGAAUCUCCGAUAGUAGCCUGCCAAUCCUAGAAAGCUCCAAAUCUCAGAUGGAGACCUCGAAACCUCCCAAUUCAUCACGGCCUCUACCUUGGCCGGAUCUAUUGAAAUCCCGUUCUGGUUGACAAGGUGCCCAAGAAACUGCACCUCGCGCAACAAGAACUCACACUUGGAGAACUUAGCAUACAAGUUCUCCCUCCUCAAAGUCUUUAGAACCUCCUGCAGAUGCUUCUCAUGCUGCUCCUGCGUCUUGGAAUAAACCAGGAUGUCAUCAAUAAACACUAUCACAGACCAAUCUAACAUCGGUCUACACACGCGGCUCAUGAGAUCCAUGAACGCAGCAGGAGCAUUAGUGAGCCUGAAAGGCAUCACCACAAACUCAUAGUGGCCAUAACGCGUCCGAAAUGCAGUCUUCUGCACAUUCUCCUCUCUGACCCUCAUCUGAUGAUACCCUGAACGCAAAUCAAUCUUGGAGAACCAAGAUGUUCCAUGAAGUUGGUCAAAGAGGUCAUCAAUCCUCGGGAGUGGGUAGCGGUUCUUCACCGUUACCUUGUUCGGCUCCCGGUAAUCUAUACACAUCCGAUGCGCCCCUCCUUCUUUCUCACAAAAAGAAUCGGGGCUCCCCAGGGUGAACUGCUCGGUCUAAUGAAACCCUUGUCUAACAGCUCCUGCAGCUGUGUAGACAACUCCUGCAUCUCAGGAGGAGCCAACCGAUACGGUGCCUUGGCUAUCGGAGUCGCACCAGGAACUAGUUCGAUCCUGAAUUCCACUUGUCGUUCCAGAGGUAUCCCAGGCAACUCCUCGGGGAAUUCAUCCGCGAACUCCCGUACCACAGGUACAUCAUCCACCGCCGCCCUACCCGUUUCCCGGAUAUCCAUAAUAUACGCGACAUAACCUGCGCAACCCUGCUGAAGGUAACGCCUAGCUCUCGCGGCUGAACAUAAAGUUGGUCCUCGUUGUGGCCUCUCGCCCUGAAUCACCAGCUCUCCGCCACUUGGGGUCCUGACCCGCACCAACUACUACGCGCAGUCGAUCACUGCCCCAUUAGGGUUGAGCCAAUCCAUGCCUAUAAUCACCGUGUUCCCACGCAAUGGAAUGGGAACCAAGUCUACCAGGUAGCGCUCCUAAAAUACCUCAGCACACAAUCUCGAAAUACCGUCGAUGCCCGCAUCGAACAGUCGUCUGCAAUCUCUACCUCUAGAGGGCAAUCCAACAUGCCCGAAGACUCGGAAAAUCUCUUGCUAAGCGCAAGAGACACAAAUGACCGGGUAGCGCCCGAGUCAAACAAUACCAGAACCGAGAUGCCGUUCACAUGGAACGAUCCUGAACAGAGCACAUAUCAAUAACACAAUAACAACAAAAAGAAGAUCAGCGGGAAAGAAUCAUACUCGUCACCACACCUGGUGCAGCGCGCUCCUCCUCGGCUAUCAGCUGAAAUGCUUGGCUCCGCACCACUGGAACCUCUACCUUGACCUUCCGGCUAUCUGUAACCUGCGCCGUCGCUGAGACCGGCGCUGCCGCUGGCACUGCUGCUGACGCUGCUGUCAAUCUCGGGCAAUUGGCCCUUUUGUGGCCCCUCUGAUUGCAAUGGAAGCAAAUCAGGUCUGUCAUCUGUACCGCAGGGGCGGGGGCAGCACAAUACCUGCCAAAAUUCCCCACUUUGCCACACUUAUAGAAGCCCGAACCCGGCCCAGUGCGACAAGCUCCCUCGUGUGACCGACCGCAUUUCCCACAGCGGUCCCUUCCUGCCUGGCCUUUCGGCCUACCAUCAGAUCCCUUAGGCUUCAUCCCCAAAGCCUCAAUCGUCAGCCCCUCCACUGCCUUCCUCUUCUAGACAUGCUCCAGAUCAGUCUCCCUCUCCCUAGACCUGGCAAUCAUGGAAUCCAAAGUAGGGCAACCUCGCCCUAACACAUCGGGGUCCUGCACCUCUUCCCAUAUAACAUCUCGAAGGGAGGACGGUCGAUACUCGCAUGAUAGCUGUUAUUAUACGAGAACUCCGCCAAUGGGAGGUAGGUAUCCCAACUACCUCCGAAAUCUAAAACGCAUGCCCGCAGCAUAUCCUCCAGAGUCUGGAUGGUCCGCUCGCUCUAGCCAUCUGUCUGCGGGUGAAAAGCGGUGCUAAAAUGCAGACGAGUACCCAGUUCGUCAUGAAACCUCUUCCAAAACCUGGAAGUAAACUGCACGUCUCUGUCUGAAAUUACCAAAACUGGCACUCCGUGCCGCGCCACCACCUCCCUAAUAUAGAUAUCGGCCAAGUUCUCGGCCGAGAUGCUCUCCUGAAUCGGAAUAAAGUGGGCGCUCUUGGUCAAUCGAUCCACGAUGACCCAUAUCGAAUCCAUCCCCCGCGCGAUCCUGGGAAGCUUCGUCAUAAAAUCCAUCAUAAUAUCCUCCCAUUUCCACAGUGGGAUAUCCAACGGCUGCAUCUUGUCGUGAGGUCUCUGAUGCUCGGCCUUGACCUUCCUGUAGGUCAAGCACCGCUCCACGUACCAUGCCACAUCCAGCUUCAUGUAGGGCCACCA